UGGGUAUGUUGUUGAGAAAGUUUGAGAGCCAAAAAAAACAUCUGUGCUUUGUCCAUCGUACCAUAUUUUUUAAUCGGAUAUCUCCAAGAGAUAACUAUCUUUUGCAGUAACGGUGAGAUAAGGAAUAACUUCCCACUCUUACUUAAAUAUUUGAGAGUUAUUUACGGUGGAAUAAGAAACAACUUCCCAUUUUUACUCAAAAUA
This 204-nucleotide long non-coding RNA is filed under the name Elaeis guineensis (African oil palm). RNAcentral's name for it is "long non-coding RNA (EGUI_LNC068371)". The record is from RNAcentral. Lineage: Eukaryota; Viridiplantae; Streptophyta; Magnoliopsida; Arecales; Arecaceae.